CUCGAGGCCAGAUCUUUCCGGUUGAUCCUGCCGGACCUGACUGCUAUCGGAUUGAUACUAAGCCAUGCGAGUCUUUGUAGCAAUACAAGGCAGACGGCUCAGUAACACGUAGUCAAUCUACCCUAUGGACGGGGAUAACCUCGGGAAACUGAGAAUAAUACCCGAUAGAUCAUUAUGCCUGGAAUGGUUUAUGGUCGAAAUGAUUUAUCGCCGUAGGAUGGGACUGCGGUCUAUCAGCUUGUUGGUGAGGUAAUGGCCCACCAAGGCUGUAACGGAUGCGGGCUCUGAGAGGAGAAGCCCGGAGAUGGGUACUGAGACACGGACCCAGGUCCUAUGGGGCGCAGCAGGCGAGAAAACUUUGCAAUGUGCGAAAGCACGACAAGGUUAAUCCGAGUGUUUUCUGCUAAAGAAAUCUUUUGUCAGUCCUAAAAACACUGAUGAAUAAGGGGUGGGCAAGUUCUGGUGUCAGCCGCCGCGGUAAAACCAGCACCUCAAGUGGUCAGGAGGAUUAUUGGGCCUAAAGCAUCCGUAGCCGGCCGUGUAAGUUUUCGGUUAAA
This 557-nucleotide ribosomal RNA is filed under the name uncultured archaeon. Its description in RNAcentral is "bacterial SSU rRNA". It matches the Rfam family "Archaeal small subunit ribosomal RNA", at positions 1 to 549 of the family's 1478-position model. The record is from RNAcentral.